UGUAAUGUAAUAGAGGUGUAAUAGCAAAUCAAUUGUUUGGUUGAAUGUAAUGGAAUAGAGGCGUAAUAGUAUUCUUGUGUUUGGUUGAAUGGAAUAGAGGUGUAAUAGCAUAAUGGAAAAAACUAAAAUGACUAGAAUACCCUUAGCAUAAAUUUGUUUUGGUAAAUGAUUAUUGUUAUUGUUAUUUAAAUUUUAAUAAGAUU
This 203-nucleotide long non-coding RNA is filed under the name Gossypium raimondii (Peruvian cotton). RNAcentral describes it as "long non-coding RNA (GRAI_LNC000648)". Lineage: Eukaryota; Viridiplantae; Streptophyta; Magnoliopsida; Malvales; Malvaceae. The record is from RNAcentral.